GUCCUAGCCGUAAACGGUGCACGUUUGCUGUAAGAGGAAUCGACCCCUUUUGUGGCGUAGCCAACGCGUUAAACGUGCCGCCUGGGAAGUACGGUCGCAAGAUUAAAACUCAAAGAAAUUGACGGGUGCCUGCACAAGCGGUGGAGUAUGUGGCUCAAUUCGAUGCAACGCGAAGAACCUUACCUGGCCUUGACAUGUACGUAGUAGAAGGGUGAAAGCCUGACUAGGUAGCAAUACCAGCGUACACAGGUGCUGCAUGGCUGUCGU
RNAcentral lists this ribosomal RNA (267 nucleotides) under uncultured bacterium. Its description in RNAcentral is "partial 16S ribosomal RNA". It matches the Rfam family "Bacterial small subunit ribosomal RNA", at positions 793 to 1055 of the family's 1533-position model. The record is from RNAcentral.